Molecule: ribosomal RNA, 116 nt
Filed under: Rhododendron simsii
Lineage: Eukaryota; Viridiplantae; Streptophyta; Magnoliopsida; Ericales; Ericaceae
Source: RNAcentral
GCGAUCAUACCAGCACUAAUGCAUCGGAUCCCAUCAGAACUCCGUAGUUAAGCGUGCUUGGGCGAGAGUAGUACUAGGAUGGGUGACCCCUUGGGAAAGUCCUCGUGUUGCACCCA